ACACAUGCAGUCGAACGGCAGCACGGGAGCAAUCCUGGUGGCGAGUGGCGAACGGGUGAGUAAUACAUCGGAACGUGCCCAAUCGUGGGGGAUAACGCAGCGAAAGCUGUGCUAAUACCGCAUACGAUCUACGGAUGAAAGCAGGGGACCGCAAGGCCUUGCGCGAAUGGAGCGGCCGAUGGCAGAUUAGGUAGUUGGUGAGGUAAAGGCUCACCAAGCCUUCGAUCUGUAGCUGGUCUGAGAGGACGACCAGCCACACUGGGACUGAGACACGGCCCAGACUCCUACGGGAGGCAGCAGUGGGGAAUUUUGGACAAUGGGCGAAAGCCUGAUCCAGCAAUGCCGCGUGCAGGAUGAAGGCCUUCGGGUUGUAAACUGCUUUUGUACGGAACGAAACGGUUCUUUCUAAUAAAGAGAGCUAAUGACGGUACCGUAAGAAUAAGCACCGGCUAACUACGUGCCAGCAGCCGCGGUAAUACGUAGGGUGCAAGCGUUAAUCGGAAUUACUGGGCGUAAAGCGUGCGCAGGCGGUUAUGUAAGACAGUUGUGAAAUCCCCGGGCUCAACCUGGGAAUUGCAUCUGUGACUGCAUAGCUAGAGUACGGUAGAGGGGGAUGGAAUUCCGCGUGUAGCAGUGAAAUGCGUAGAUAUGCGGAGGA
This 658-nucleotide ribosomal RNA is filed under the name unidentified microorganism. RNAcentral describes it as "bacterial SSU rRNA". It matches the Rfam family "Bacterial small subunit ribosomal RNA", at positions 51 to 705 of the family's 1533-position model. The record is from RNAcentral.